Molecule: RNA transcript, 3419 nt
Organism: Triticum aestivum (bread wheat)
Lineage: Eukaryota; Viridiplantae; Streptophyta; Magnoliopsida; Poales; Poaceae
Exons: 4
Source: RefSeq, a predicted model, not a curated record
CUCCCUACCAGACCUUGCCGCCGCCGGCCUCCCCUCCUCUCCGCUUCCCUCCCACCUCAGGCGGAGCCCCCACCUAUCCAUCUCUCUCUAGCGACCCCUCUCUCUCCCCCAGGACUCAUCUUCGCCACUAGGGUUUGCGGUGGCUUUGCCCCAUGCUCGCCAUGGCUCUCCAGCAACCAGGACAACGAUGAUGUCGACGGGAUCCUACGGGCGCGUCCUCCUGCAGCCACUGGCGAACCUACCAUCCUCUAGGGUUUGAGCCACCGCGUCGCCGACGUGGCUCCGACGUUGUUCCGAUCCGUCAUCGCUCGAGGAACGAAAGGCCAUGGACGGGAUGGCCACUUCCUCCCCUGCUCCGACGCCAUGGAGGCCACCUUCUCGCUGCAGCGUCUCUUGCUGUCGAGUCUCUCUGUGGUGGUCUGGUGGCUGUGAUCUCUACCCGCCCCAAUGGAUUGGCCAGCGUUGGCGACUUGGCGUACACAAUGGAGGUGCUGCUGUUCUGCUACGCCAACCUCAUCCUACAGCCCUCCGUCGCCCCACUAGCAAGCUGCAAGGUUAUCAUCAGGAAUAAACAACUUAUAGUUAGCUGAACAAGUGUAGUUUUGUGUAGCAAACAGUUUCUUUGGAUGAAGCAUCUGUCCUAGUUUCGUCGGCUAUAGCGUGUGGUAAGAAAAUGUAGUGAUGGUUGAGUUCUUAUGUUUCAAUAUCUGUGAUGUGAUAUGACGAGAGCAUUUAGAUAUUGCAUUGUUGCACUCUUAACUAGACAAUUAAUAUCGUUUUUAUGUUGCUGUAGCUGUAAGUUCCAAUCCAACCUUCUGGAAAGCAAUGCAUUGGUCUUCUAAUUGUUACAACAAAGUUUGCAACAAUUCAAAAGUUGUUCAACUAGACAACUGAUCUAAGAGCUUGCUUCUCAGCAAAAUUGUUGCUACGAUGCGACGUUACAAUCAGUCGGUGUAUCCUUCUGAAUCUUGGUUGUGUGUUGGAACUUAUUUAUCCGUGGGAACGUUUGGGGAUUGCAUUGUUGCAUUCUGAAUCAUACAAUUUGUAGACGUUUAUUUAUCUGUGAGAAGGAACAUUAAGAUAUUCAUCUGCUGCAUUCUAAAUUAGACAAUGAGAAUUGUUUUAUUUUUCAGUACACCAGGUGAUGUAGCUGUAAGUUCCAGCCCGGCCUUUGCACUGGCUAUGUUUCUAGGCAUAGUCCAGUUGUUCUGUUUAAUUUGUAUGAAGUUGAAGUCCCAGUUUUUGCUUGUAAACAUCUUGCUAUUUAUUUGAUAUGACCUGGUUAUUUUUUGAACGACAUGGUCAAGGUUAUUAACAAUUAUCCGUGCUGCCAAUUCGAACAUGCACAUGAUUUUUAGGAUAUCGCAAGCUCUUGCAAACGAUUUGGUUAAUGAGUUGCAAUAAUAUACAACCAUAGAAUCCUACACCAUGUGGUGGACUUAAGUAUCUUAGUGACUUCAUUUGAUGUGUGUGUAUUUCUGUUAAUUUUAAGCUUAUGUUGCUGUGAGAAUGUACCUCACAGACCAUCUGUGUAUUUAUUGUGGACUUCUUGUAUGAGUGGGGAUUGUGGUAGUUCUGUCACAACAUUCUGUUAGCUAAAAUGAAAUCAGAAAAUGAGCUUUGUUUGUUCUUGUACUCUUUGUAUGUUCCUUUUGUUUUUUUAAUUUGAUGACAAUGAACCAAUAUAACCAGUAGCUACUGUGCAUUGCCAAGUACAACUGUUUUACUUUGUAUGGAAUCAUGUAUAGAUAUUAUUUCUUUAAGUGUUGCUGGCUAUAUUAAAAUUAUACUCUGAGGCACUGUAGCAUUAGUGUGUUGUUUCGCUUUGGGCCUUCUCUAUCUAUGUUUGUAAGUCAGGUUGUUUUUGUGGCAUCCAGGGGCACAAUGCUAGUAGGCAAGCUAGCACACAUGGAUUCGUGAACUGGCUUGGAUGUGUUCUUGGUCGUCUGGGUUGGAUGAGGACGAUGGAAACGAUGGUACACAUGUACUGGCUAUUUAUAGUGUUUUAUUUGCUGCCAUGUUUUAUGCAUGUUCUUAUACUCCAAUUACUUUUGGAGUCUGGAUAUAAUGAUGAAGUACUUUAUUUGUAUGGUCAUAGUGCUUGUCACUCCAUAUGUUAUAGUGAUUCCCUCUGUUUCCUUAUAUGUUCUUGUAGUUUGGUUGUUUUCCUGUUCAUGCAUGUUUGUACAUCUAUAUAUAGUUUUGCUGUGAAUCUGUCAUGCAUGCAUGUAUUGAAAUGCAGGAAAUGUUGAAUACAUGUUCGCUCUCAGCUGGGAUAUUGGAUUGUACAUAGUUAUGUGAUUUAUUCAUGUCUGCUUCUUAUCUUAUUAAGUGAUUAUAUUUAUGUCCAUGCUACCUGUAGGAUGGUCAAUAGCUUGUUCUGUAGUUUAUCUAUUCCUGUACAGUUUGCUUUUCCCUUCAUAUCUGACUACGUAUUGUAGAAUCUCUAAUUUAUGCCUGUAGCAUUGUUCUACUAUCUGUGUGAUGCUGAAAAAUAUGCUCUUAAUCUGUUGCUAUAUUCUCACCAAAUGCACAGUUUAUUUCCUUAGACCUACUGUUAAACAAAGGCUUAACUUGUAACAUUUUUUCUUAACAAUAAGCAUAGAAUUCCUGACUAUGUUAUAUGAUCAGCUUACUCCUGCUUGAAUAACUAUACUAAUUCCCGACUCUGUUAUAUGUAAGGAGUAAAAUAGUUUACUCAAGUGAUAUCCACUGGAUCACUAUCUUAAAUCACCUUAUUAGCAUUGUGUGCUGCUAAUAGUAUUUUAGACUUACCAUAUCCUCUCUGGCUAGGUCUUCCUCACCGGCGAUGGCAGGAGCGCAUGAUAGACUUCUAAAUGGACAAGUAUCUGCAACGUUCAGUGUCAAUGAUGAUGCUUACCAGAUAUUCUACUGUAGCCCCAUCCAUAUCAUCGACGUGAAGUCAGAUCUACUCGUCCUGAAAUUGAUGGCCUGAAGCUUGAUACACAUAUCAUGUGACACACAUUAGGAAAUUUGAAUAACAUCGACAUAGGUUCUCUGUUAUCUUGCACUGGGUUGAUACUUACCGGUUUCCCUUACAAAUAUAUUACAUAUUUUCUUUUAUGAGAAUUUUAUCUGCAUGGUUUCUUAUUAGAUCUCAAAUUCUGCAGCUAUUUUUCAUUGUUAGGAAAAUGUUAUAUGCACGGCUUCACUUGAUUAUGUUCCUAACUUUUCUGAUUUAUAACCUACAGAUGCCUUCAUUUGUCAAAAGUUGGUGUACAGGAACUCCAGGAGAAGAAUCCCAAAGAAAACAUGCACCCAGCAAUUUGUUCUAGCUCACUGGAGCAUCAUUUUGAAGUACCUAAUUUAUGGCUGAGCACCUGAUUUAUGGUUGAGUACCUGUUUUGUACUAUGCAUUAUUGUAAAGUACUUUGUUUGGCCAUUGUAUGAAAACACUA